CCUUCGAUAGCUCAGUUGGUAGAGCGGUGGACUGUAGAGGUUAUGUAUAUACGGUGUAUUAGAGAAACGCCACGGAUAUCCAUAGGUCGCUGGUUCGAAUCCGGCUCGAAGGA
RNAcentral lists this transfer RNA (113 nucleotides) under Apis mellifera (honey bee). It matches the Rfam family "tRNA". From Rfam's summary of the family: Transfer RNA (tRNA) molecules are approximately 80 nucleotides in length. Their secondary structure includes four short double-helical elements and three loops (D, anti-codon, and T loops). The record is from Rfam by way of RNAcentral. Lineage: Eukaryota; Metazoa; Arthropoda; Insecta; Hymenoptera; Apidae.